UCACACAAGCGGUGGAGCAUGUGGCUUAAUUCGAGGCUACGCGAAGAACCUUAUCCUGGGCUUGACAUGUGCGAAAGCGUCAGGGAGUAGGGUGCGGAAACGUAACCCCAACGGUAUCCAGUCCGGAGCCUGAUACAGGUGCUGCAUGGCUGUCGUCAGCUCGUGUCGUGAGAUGUCGGGUUAAGUCCCAUAACGAGCGAAACCCUUGUCCGCAGUUGCCAGCGCGUCAUGGCGGGGACUCUGCGGAGACUGCCGGCGUCAAGCCGGAGGAAGGCGGGGAUGACGUCAAGUCCUCAUGGCCUUGAUGCCCAGGGCUGCACACGUGCUACAAUGCCGCGUACAAAGGGAUGCCAACCCGCAAGGGGGAGCUAAUCCCAAAAAACGCGGCCCAGUUCAGAUCGAAGGCUGCAACUCGCCUUCGUGAAGCCGGAAUCGCUAGUAAUCGCAGGUCAGCAACACUGCGGUGAAUGUGUUCCUGAGCCUUGUACUCACCGCCCGUC
This 500-nucleotide ribosomal RNA is filed under the name uncultured bacterium. RNAcentral describes it as "bacterial SSU rRNA". It matches the Rfam family "Bacterial small subunit ribosomal RNA", at positions 921 to 1398 of the family's 1533-position model. The record is from RNAcentral.